This 759-nucleotide non-coding RNA is filed under the name Hyalopeplus sp. Lineage: Eukaryota; Metazoa; Arthropoda; Insecta; Hemiptera; Miridae. The record is from RNAcentral.
AUUAUAUUUUAUCUAUGUAUAUAGAUUUAAUUUUAUUAUAAAAAAUAUAUAAGUUUUAUCGGGUUUAUAAAUUUUAAAUAAAAUCAUUUUUUUAUCCUUAGUUUUUAGUUUUGGAUUAAUUUAUUAAUAUAAUAUCUAUUAAUAAUAAUGUUUUUAUAACAAAAAUUGUGCCAGCAGUUGCGGUUACACAAUUAUAAAUAUUAAAUUUUUUUGGUUUAUAUUAAAUUUUUUGUCUUUUAAUAAAAUUUAUUUUUUUUUGGUGAAAUAUUAAUUUUAAUUAUUUUAUUUUAUGUUAUAUAUGAAAGUUAUUUUUUAAACUAGGAUUAGAUACCCUAUUAUUUUAACUGUAAAUUUUUAACCUAAUUACUAUUAGUUAUGAUCUUUAAAUUUAAAAGAUUUGGCGGUAAUUUAACCUUUCAGAGGAACCUGUCCUUUAAUUGAUAAUCCACAAUGAAUUUUACUUUUAUUAUACUUAUAUAUCUCUAUCAUUGAAUGUCUUGUGAAGGUUAUUUUCUUAAUGGUUUUAUAACCAAAAUGUUAGGUCAAGGUUUAGUAGUAUAAAAGUAGAGAUGGGUUACAUUUUUUUUAAAAUAGGAUUAUAUUAUGGAAAUAUAUUUGAAUAUGGAUUUGGAAGUAAAUUUAUUUAGAAAAAUAAAUUGAUAUUGGCCCUAUAUUAUGCACAUAUCGCCCGUCGCUCCUAAUUAUAAUUAGGAUAAGUCGUAACAAAGUAGAUUCAUUGGAAAAUGAAUCUAGAAUGAU